GAAAAGCACUUUGAAGAGAGAGUCAAACAGUACGUGAAAUCGAUUGAAUGGAAACGGAUAUAGUCGACGGAUCUGGCUCGUAUUCAUCCGAGUAUUGCGUAUGUUUGGCGACGGUAGACGGCCGAGAGUGCGAGGUUCCUUCCUCGCGUUUGAUGCCUCUAUUGGCGCCUCUACGCAUAUCGGUGCAUUUGCGGGCUAUUGUGCGCUGGAACGUACGCGUCCGUCGUCCUCCCUCGCGGAGAAGAGGAUGCGCGCCUCGGCGCGUAAAACCGGCUUCGCACAUGGGCUUGUGGACGAUUGGGCGUGUGUGUGUGUGUGAAGCGAGGGGCUAAUUUAUUGUGGCGGGCUCGGCACGGCGUCCUGUUCUUUAUUCGAUGAGUGGCGGUCGCAUGCGACACGCGCUUGUCGUGGGCUCGGCGUCGGCGUCGGCUCUCCUGGCGCUCUUCCGGCGUAAGGGUCGAGCGAUUAUCCGACCCGUCUUGAAACACGGACCAAGGAGUUUAAGGCAUGCGCGAGUAAUUGGGUGGUGAAAACUCAGAUGCGUAAUGAAAGUGAAGGUGCACUUUGAGGCACUUAUACGCGACUCGUGCGUCGGCUUCGGACGGCGCCGAAGCAGCGUAGCCCCGUCUCUGUCGCUUGCGAUGGGGCGGAGGAAGAGCGUAUGCGUUGAGACCCGAAAGAUGGUGAACUAUGCUUGAGCAGGACGAAGUCAGAGGA
Molecule: ribosomal RNA, 717 nt
Filed under: Allantonema mirabile
Lineage: Eukaryota; Metazoa; Nematoda; Chromadorea; Rhabditida; Allantonematidae
Description: eukaryotic LSU rRNA
Rfam family: Eukaryotic large subunit ribosomal RNA
Source: RNAcentral